This 253-nucleotide ribosomal RNA is filed under the name uncultured bacterium. RNAcentral describes it as "partial 16S ribosomal RNA". It matches the Rfam family "Bacterial small subunit ribosomal RNA", at positions 524 to 776 of the family's 1533-position model. The record is from RNAcentral.
UACGUAGGGUGCAAGCGUUAAUCGGAAUUACUGGGCGUAAAGCGUGCGCAGGCGGUUAUGUAAGACAGAUGUGAAAUGCCCGGGCUUAACCUGGGAACUGCAUUUGUGACUGCAUGGCUAGAGUUUGGCAGAGGGGGGUAGAAUUCCACGUGUAGCAGUGAAAUGCGUAGAUAUCGGAAGGAACACCAGUGGCGAAAGCGGCUUCCUGGUCCAGCACCGACGUUCAGGCACGAAAGCGUGGGGAGCAAACAGG